This 501-nucleotide ribosomal RNA is filed under the name uncultured bacterium. RNAcentral's name for it is "partial 16S ribosomal RNA". It matches the Rfam family "Bacterial small subunit ribosomal RNA", at positions 30 to 523 of the family's 1533-position model. The record is from RNAcentral.
AUUGAACGCUGGCGGCAUGCCUUACACAUGCAAGUCGAACGGCAGCACGGGUGCUUGCACCUGGUGGCGAGUGGCGAACGGGUGAGUAAUAUAUCGGAACGUACCUUAUUGUGGGGGAUAACGCAGCGAAAGCUGUGCUAAUACCGCAUAAUCCCUAAGGGGGAAAGCGGGGGACCGUAAGGCCUCGCGCAAUUAGAGCGGCCGAUACCUGAUUAGCUAGUUGGUGAGGUAAAGGCUCACCAAGGCAACGAUCAGUAGCUGGUCUGAGAGGACGAUCAGCCACACUGGGACUGAGACACGGCCCAGACUCCUACGGGAGGCAGCAGUGGGGUAUUUUGGACAAUGGGGGCAACCCUGAUCCAGCAAUGCCGCGUGAGUGAAGAAGGCCUUCGGGUUGUAAAGCUCUUUUGUCAGGGAAGAAACGGCAGCUCUAACACAGUUUGCGAAUGACGGUACCUGAAGAAUAAGCACCGGCUAACUACGUGCCAGCAGCCGCAGUAA